Molecule: long non-coding RNA, 761 nt
Filed under: Coffea arabica (coffee)
Lineage: Eukaryota; Viridiplantae; Streptophyta; Magnoliopsida; Gentianales; Rubiaceae
Description: long non-coding RNA (CARA_LNC007956)
Source: RNAcentral
AGCUACUCUCUUUUCUUAGCUUCUGCUUAGAUGAUCCAGCUCACUUCGUACUUCUUGUAUUUGAAGUGUACUCUAUCUAAGAUAGGUGUAAUUGAAGUUCAAGGGUUUGAUCGGUUGAUUUAUGCGGUGCAUUACUUGCUUGCCUUCCAUUCAUAUACUACCUUUCUAUUUCUCAAUUACUGAAGGAUCCUCAGCAAACUUGCUUACGUGACAUGAAAUUACCUAAAUUAAGGAGUGAUCUGCGUAUGGUUGAAGAGCACCCAGCGAUUGUUGCGGAAGAACAGAACAGAAAGGUGCAUGAGUGGGAAGGGGACCUUUGCACCACCGAGGUUAGAACACAUAUUAUCACUUAGUAAUUGGAGUGAUUGCAAUAAUGUGGUCAAAGAUCAGGUUUGAUCAGGUGCUAUAAUGGACUUCGCGUGCUGAGACAAAUAUUGCUUGGGAAAGCGUUGGAUGGCAGGUUAACAAUGAUCUUAGAGGACAUAUUUUGUUUAAAGCCAUUGUUUCGAAUGUGCUCUUUUUGUUUAGAUAAGAAUGAUGAUAGUUCUGCUAGUGCUAAUGCUAGCUUAUAUGCCUUAGGCAUUUUAUUGGAUGAGGAAGCAUCACUUCCUCUGUGUUUUUGAACACAAGUUGUACAGCUUAACGAGCCGUUGCUCGACAUGUAAACUCUUUUACUAGAUCUAUGAAAGUCUACUAACGUUUCAGAAAAAAAAAAAAUAAUGGACUUCGCAGACUGUAUAAUUGAUUCAGAGAAAUGAACU